UCUAACAUGUGCGCGAGUCAUUGGGCUCUGCGAAACCUAAAGGCGAAAUGAAAGUGAAGGCCGAGCCUUUCGGCUGAGGCUUAGGGGUGAUGACCGUUCCUUAACCGGGCGGUCCGCAGCCCCGGGGCGUCUCAUUCUCUUUGAGAAGUGGCGCACCCAGAGCGUACACGUUGGGACCCGAAAGAUGGUGAACUAUGCCUGGCCAGGACGAAGUCAGGGGAAACCCUGAUGGAGGUCCGUAGCGAUUCUGACGUGCAAAUCGAUCGUCGGAGCUGGGUAUAGGGGCGAAAGACUAAUCGAACCAUC
RNAcentral lists this ribosomal RNA (306 nucleotides) under Echinothrips sp. IWM-2003. RNAcentral describes it as "eukaryotic LSU rRNA". It matches the Rfam family "Eukaryotic large subunit ribosomal RNA", at positions 674 to 944 of the family's 3401-position model. The record is from RNAcentral. Lineage: Eukaryota; Metazoa; Arthropoda; Insecta; Thysanoptera; Thripidae.